This 757-nucleotide long non-coding RNA is filed under the name Equus caballus (horse). RNAcentral describes it as "lncRNA (ENSECAG00000046239.1)". Lineage: Eukaryota; Metazoa; Chordata; Mammalia; Perissodactyla; Equidae. The record is from RNAcentral.
AGCAAGCAGCAGCAUUGUCCUCCAUUUAAACACUGACAUGUAGGACUGAUUGAGAUUGACAAGAAGAUGUCCUGUCCAGCCUCCCUAAACUGCAGGUGCACGUAGAACAGCUUUCUUUCUUCCCUCUUGUCUUCCUCCUUGAACCUGCAGCCACAGCCUGCAUGGAGAUGAGCAGUUCAAAAAAGUCUGACAACCCCUGAGCUGGACAAUGGAACAACAAAUUGAAACCUGAUUUUUAGCGUUGGCCAACUUCACUGCUGUAAAUGCUCUCAUCAUGACCAAUUUCAAGCUACCAGUGUGAAGUUGCUGAAGGUGGAGUGGGAAGAGACAUGCAGAAGCAUACCACUAUAUAGUAUUUCUACCAUACUGAUGUAAUAGCCACCAAUGCCUCAAAAACAGAUAAUAGUACCAUGUAGCAAAAGAUUUAGGAAGCAACAUAUUUUGAGUAUUUAUUAACUUUGAUUUUAACAUACUUUAACUGUAAGUUUAUAUACUUUAUUUUUAAUAAUGGCUGUUUUUAAUAACUGGCUCACCAAAUUCCUGACAUUUUAACAGUUGGCUUCAGAUUGAAGACCCAAUCAGAAUUUCUGAUUCCGUAGGACUGAGGUGGAGUCUGAGAAUUUGCAGUUCUAACAAGUUCCCCGGUGAUGCUGAUGCUGCUGGUCUGGGGGCCGCACUUUGAGACCCAGAGCCGUAUUAUCUUAAGCAAUAGCAGAAUCAGCCUUUGUUUGAGAUGGGUAUUCCAAAUCAUGUUAAA